This 2235-nucleotide long non-coding RNA is filed under the name Homo sapiens (human). Its description in RNAcentral is "HSALNT0318726". The record is from RNAcentral. Lineage: Eukaryota; Metazoa; Chordata; Mammalia; Primates; Hominidae.
CCAGGGUGGAGUGCAGUGGCAUGAUCUCGGCUCACUGCAACCUCCACUUCCCGAGUUCAAGCGAUUCUCCUGCCUCAGCCUCCCGAGUAACUGGGACUACAGGCAUGCACCACCAUGCCUGGCUAAUUUUUGUAUUUUUAGUAGAGACGGGGUUUCACUAUGUUGACCAGGCUGGUCUCAAACUCCCAACCUCGUGAUCUGCCUUCCUCGGCCUCCCAAAGUGCUGGGAUUGCAGGCGUGAGCCACUGCGCCCGGCCUGUACCCUCCUUCUUUUUGAAAAAGAGAGUACCUUCUUCCUCUGCUUUCAUUCUGAAGCCUCCAUUUAAAACACUCCUCCUCCUUAGCAAUAGUGAGGGUCCCUUCAGACUAGAUAGGAUGUCAAAAGGCCAAAGCAUUGCCCCCAACACACUCCUUUAAUGUAGUCCCUUCUUUCCAGGUGUCUUCCUGAAGAGAGAAAAAUUUGUAGAUCAGAGAGAUGCAAUUGGGAGCUCCGUAGUGAAUCUAGUUAGAAAUGAGUAGCAGAAAAAAUAGGAAAGACCCGUCUCUCAAUAUUAUGGUUGCUUCCCAAAACAAAACCAGUUGAUACAGCAUGAAGGCAAUUUAAAAUGAUAGAUAUGGACAUGCUGCCUUACAUUUCAUAUCACCUCUUUACUAAAUGAGAAUUUUUUGGAUGCAUAGGGAAAGUUUGCAUAAUAUUGAAAAGUUUGACUUUCUGGAAUCUAUGUGAGCUCAGGAAUAUAUUUGGGGAUCUUAGCAGAGGCCAGUGGUAGCCUAUUAAAUCUAAAACAAUUGGCUUUGUUUUUAAAACCAGCUGCUAUUUUGUAGUUUCAUUUAAAGAAAAAGUACCUUCUAUUCAUUUGCAGAAGUUGCUUUAUUGGAUUCUAUGGUCAUUGUAUAUCAUAACUAUAUCUUUUUUGUUACCUGAAAUAAACAUGUGGCAAUUUUCCUGAUAGAGAUGAUGAAUUAUCUUUAUUGUUUGCUUCAUAUUCCACCCUCACCACCGGGCAAGCGGAGGCUGAGCAUGACUUCUGCCAUAUUGCAGCAACUUAUCAGUUGCAAUCUGUCACCUAAAACUAUUUGAUCAUAUGGUAGUCAUGAAAAAUAUGGAGAAUGUAAAGAUUUUAUGCAUUCAGUCAAAAAAAGGCAGAUCUAAAAUCAGUUGGUUUAUUUCCUGCAGUCUUUCAAGUUGACCAAAGCACUCACUGAUUUGCUCUAUUUUCUUACGUUUUUAGUAUUUCUGUAUAUAUGCACUAAAAAGCCCCACUCAGAAAAAAAAAAUCAGUGCAAUUCUGAGAAAAAGCUUAUCCUAAACAUCUAAAGAUAGCAUUUCUAAUUAUUGUCUACAUUGUGUUUAAACUGUGCAAACUUGAGCAUUAUUCUCACUUUACCAGCUGUGUCUAGGUAGAGUCAUUACAUCAAACGCUUCUAAUUUUACAAAAAGAAAUCAAAACAAGCGUGUGUUUCAGUCCCCGUGACAAAUGCAAACCCUGUGAGUCAAAUAGGCAAACUGAUUAGCAAGCUGGCUGGGAAGUCAAAACAGCAAAUAUAAGGAGAUUAACAAAAUAGAUCUGUAAGAUGAGAGGAGUAAAAAUAGACUCCAGGGGCCAAGUGGGGUCCGGUGGGUGGCUUUGGUGGCACACAUAUGGUUCUGUGCCAGGAACCAGAUGUCUGCCUUUAUGGCCCACAAUCUUCCCUUCAUUCUAGGUUCCCUCCCCACAAGAGAUGGGAUCGCAGAGUUCAUGUCAUUCAGUCUCUCAAUGGAUGCAGAAAUCCUUCUCGGGAACCUCAGAGGUAGCAACUGUCCUUCAUUUGAAUCCUGGUUGCAUGAUGCUCACUGCCUUACAAGGCAGCUCCAUCUAUUUAUUAGUAGGCAAGAUGCAGUCACCUGGCUUCCCUGGCACUGUCUCUGAUAUCUGGGAAAUGGACCUAAGGCUGUACUCGGAGGCAGAUGUGACAAGCUACCAGCCCAGGUGAGAUGGAAGGCCUCUUCCCCUCUCAGGCCAGAGGGUCCAGUGCCAGAAUCAUCCCGACGCUUGUCGCAAAUUCACUUUCUCUUCUCCCUUUGGAUUCCACAGCUCUGGGAUGUAGCCCAGGAAGCUGUAUUUUUUUUUUUUAACUUCCCUGAGUGAUUCUGGUGAUCUUCCUCUUGGAGCCACACUGAAGGGCAAGACAAGCAGUGGCUGAACGUUGUUGCCAGCAGGGUUAGGGAGGUGGGGGCAGAGGAUAAGGAGAAGU